RNAcentral lists this transfer RNA (68 nucleotides) under Abia mengmeng. Its description in RNAcentral is "tRNA-Tyr". It matches the Rfam family "tRNA". From Rfam's summary of the family: Transfer RNA (tRNA) molecules are approximately 80 nucleotides in length. Their secondary structure includes four short double-helical elements and three loops (D, anti-codon, and T loops). Lineage: Eukaryota; Metazoa; Arthropoda; Insecta; Hymenoptera; Cimbicidae. The record is from RNAcentral.
GAUAAAAUGGCUGAAGUUUAGGCGAUAAAUUGUAAAUUUAUUUAUGAAAUUUAAUAUUUCUUUUAUUA